UUUCCGUAGGUGAACCUGCGGAAGGAUCAUUGUCGAAACCUACAGAGGCAGAACGACCCGUGGAUUGGUAAAGAACUGAAGCGGGAGGCAGGCCUUGGGGCAUGUCGACCGAGUUCCAAGGCGAGGGCGGUGGGUAAACUCCCCCACCUCUGCCAUGGGCAACAACAACAAACCCCGGCGCAGAUCGCGCCAAGGAAGCAGAACAAAGAUGCGUGCCCCCCGGCUCCCGAAAAUGGUGCCUCCGUGGGGUGCGUCGUCGUUAUCAUAUUUGAAACGACUCUCGGCAACGGAUAUCUCGGCUCUCGCAUCGAUGAAGAACGUAGCGAAAUGCGAUACUUGGUGUGAAUUGCAGAAUCCCGUGAACCAUCGAGUCUUUGAACGCAAGUUGCGCCCGAAGCCGUCAGGCCGAGGGCACGCCUGCCUGGGUGUCACAAAAACGUUGCCAAAUCCCCUCGCUCCCCCCUUUCGAAGGGGACGACGAGGGCUGGCGGACAUUGGCCUCCCGUGAUCUCGCGAUUGCGGUUGGCCCAAAAGAGAGUCCCCGGCGAGGCGUCCACGACACGCGGUGGUUGGAAGCGGAUGCUCCUUGAGCCCAGUCGUGGUGCCUCACCAAUCGGGAGUCGAAGACCCGGAUGCGUAGCGUCCUUCACAGAGCGACCCCAGGUCAGGCGGGAACACCCGCUGAGUUUAAG
RNAcentral lists this ribosomal RNA (692 nucleotides) under Celastraceae sp. ALD-2007. Its description in RNAcentral is "eukaryotic LSU rRNA". The stretch from base 276 to 431 matches the Rfam family "5.8S ribosomal RNA". Lineage: Eukaryota; Viridiplantae; Streptophyta; Magnoliopsida; Celastrales; Celastraceae. The record is from RNAcentral.